This is a ribosomal RNA of Oncorhynchus mykiss (rainbow trout), 119 nucleotides long. Lineage: Eukaryota; Metazoa; Chordata; Actinopteri; Salmoniformes; Salmonidae. The record is from Ensembl.
GCUUACGGCCACACCGGCCUGAGUACGCCUGAUCUCGUCCGAUCUCGCAAGCUAAGCAGGGUCGGGCCUGGUUAGUACUUGGAUGGGAGACCGCCUGGGAAUACCAGGUGCUGUAAGCU